CCUACGGGUGGCAGCAGUGAGGAAUAUUGGUCAAUGGCCGGAAGGCUGAACCAGCCAUGCCGCGUGAAGGUCAGUGCCCUAUGGGUUGUAAACCUCUUUUGUCGGGGAGCAAAAGCCGGACGUGUCCGGCUGUGAGAGUACCCGCAGAUAAAGCAUCGGCUAACUCCGUGCCAGCACCCGCGGUAAUAGGGGGGAUGCGAGCGUUAUCCGGAUUUAUUGGGUUUAAAGGGUGCGCAGGCGGAUUUUUAAGUCAGCGGUCAAAUCGUGGGGCUCAACCCCAUCCAGCCGUUGACACUUGGGAUCUAGAGUGUGCGAGAGGUAUGCGGAAUGCGUGGUGUAGCGGUGAAAUGCAUAGAUAUCACGCAGAACCCCGAUGGCGAAGGCAGCAUACCGGUGCACAACUGACGCUCAGGCACGAAGGCGUGGGUAUCGAACAGGAUUAGAUACCCGAGUAGUC
This 457-nucleotide ribosomal RNA is filed under the name uncultured bacterium. RNAcentral describes it as "partial 16S ribosomal RNA". It matches the Rfam family "Bacterial small subunit ribosomal RNA", at positions 338 to 795 of the family's 1533-position model. The record is from RNAcentral.